Non-coding RNA from Podarcis lilfordi (Lilford's wall lizard), 86 nucleotides. The record is from the annotation of a GenBank genome assembly. NCBI's taxonomy places the organism in Eukaryota, Metazoa, Chordata, Lepidosauria, Squamata, Lacertidae.
AAGAUUCCGUGUGCAUGCACACUUCUUCAGAUACACAGAUACACUUCAGAUAUGUGUAUCUGAAGUGUGUGUGCACACGAAAGCUU